UCACAUAGCGCUGGGAUCACGAAGAAGCGGACGUGUUUUAAAUUUUGCUCCUUAUGUGCCCUUCAGUGCUUCAUUGUUAUGGCCCCAUGGAUGUGUACGUGUCUAGAGGACUGCGGCAAGCUGGGCAAGGCAUGAGGAUCUGAGUAUCUGACCCAAGCUGAGACAAGGGCUGGUACUGAUGAAGGAAGAAUCGGCUUACGAGGUAACGGGGAGACUUGGCCGGGAGUAGUUAUGGCGGCCCUGCCAACGAAGAUUCAAGGUAAGACAACGCCGUUAUUUCGUUUCGCGGGUUUUCCUCAUCGGUUUUUAUAGUUGAUAAUUUUACUUCCGGUCCAGUUUCUUGCUUAUAUUAAUGACGUAUUCUUAUAAUAGCUACUUUUGCCUCAUGUUAAGACUACACGUAAGAAAAGCUUUGCGUAGAUAAGGAGGCGUUACAAGGCGUCCUGCUCGAUCCUGUCCUGUUGUGACAAGCAAUUAAGGAAGCGGUGGUAGGCGCGGUGUCAUUAAAGGACUAUUCUCGUACGUAAAGCGGUCGCGGUCUUGAAAAGUGAGGCGUACGUGAGUGACGGCAUGAUCCAACCUCCGAGCCAGUGACCAAUCAGCGGCCGGCCUUCACUUAACAAGCCAUCACCACCACUCAUCCUCGUCACGCAGAUUCCUUCUCGCUGCUAAAUCAGGCAAGUGAAAUAUUCCUUGAACAAUAAAUAAUGCAUAUACAAUUAUCAAUGUGUUCCUUAAGUGUGUGUUGUAGUGACUGGCCAGCCGGCUAGCCACUCCACGCUAAUUCUCGUGAGGCUGAUCACGUGACUCCCGCCACCCGGCUCAUCCCUACCUCCGAACCCCCGCCGCCCCACCCCUGCCUCCCACCCUGCUCCCGCUUCAUCCUCAGCCCCAUCCCACGUCCACCUUGCCAUCCCAAGCCCUACCCAACGCCCGCCGUCUCACUCCCAGUCCCACCUCUCUGAUGUUUUCAUAUUCUUCCUACUUCACCCACACCUCAUGCCAGCCGCCCAACUAACCACUCUUCCCCCUGUCAGCAAAGCCUCCAGCAUCAUUCCUGGCCGCAGCAUCAUAGCCCGGCAUGGCGUGGUGGCCUAUGUGGUACUGCGCCCAGUCUGUUCAAGGGAUGGGGGAAGUUGAAGGACGCGCAGAAAUGCCUCCCCCUCCUGCUGCGACACCUGCUGUAGGAUCCAGAAGUGACCAUCUUUGGCGAGUGUCGUUGAGUGGGCUUAAGAGGAGUGCAAGAGGCGCCUUAGGACUCGAGAGGGGCCGUCAAAGUAGU
Molecule: long non-coding RNA, 1282 nt
Organism: Scylla paramamosain (green mud crab)
Lineage: Eukaryota; Metazoa; Arthropoda; Malacostraca; Decapoda; Portunidae
Exons: 3
Source: RefSeq, a predicted model, not a curated record